This 753-nucleotide ribosomal RNA is filed under the name uncultured bacterium. RNAcentral's name for it is "bacterial SSU rRNA". It matches the Rfam family "Bacterial small subunit ribosomal RNA", at positions 28 to 776 of the family's 1533-position model. The record is from RNAcentral.
GAUGAACGCUAGCGGCAGGCCUAACACAUGCAAGUCGAACGGUAACAUUGGUGCUUGCACUAGAUGACGAGUGGCGCACGGGUGAGUAACGCGUAUACAAUCUGCCUAUUACUGGAGUAUAGCCCGAAGAAAUUUGGAUUAACCCUCCAUAGUAUUAAGAGAUGGCAUCAUUUUUUAAUUAAAACUACGGUGGUAAUAGAUGAGUAUGCGUCCCAUUAGUUAGUUGGUAAGGUAACGGCUUACCAAGACAGCGAUGGGUAGGGGUCCUGAGAGGGAGAUCCCCCACACUGGUACUGAGACACGGACCAGACUCCUACGGGAGGCAGCAGUGAGGAAUAUUGGACAAUGGAGGCAACUCUGAUCCAGCCAUGCCGCGUGCAGGAAGACUGCCCUAUGGGUUGUAAACUGCUUUUAUAGAGGAAGAAACCUCCCUUUGCGAAGGGAAUUGACGGUACUCUACGAAUAAGGAUCGGCUAACUCCGUGCCAGCAGCCGCGGUAAUACGGAGGAUCCAAGCGUUAUCCGGAAUCAUUGGGUUUAAAGGGUCCGUAGGUGGACUAAUAAGUCAGUGGUGAAAGUCUGCAGCUCAACUGUAGAAUUGCCAUUGAAACUGUUAGUCUUGAGUCAUUAUGAAGUGGUUGGAAUGAGCGGUGUAGCGGUGAAAUGCAUAGAUAUCGCUCAGAACACCGAUUGCGAAGGCAGAUCACUAAUAAUGUACUGACACUGAUGGACGAAAGCGUGGGUAGCGAACAGG